RNAcentral lists this non-coding RNA (728 nucleotides) under Pongo abelii (Sumatran orangutan). The record is from RNAcentral. Lineage: Eukaryota; Metazoa; Chordata; Mammalia; Primates; Hominidae.
GAUUCUUCCCAAUUCUACCGCCAUCAUUCUGGUUCAAGCUACCUGUAGAGACGGGGUUUCACCAUGUUAGCCAGGAUGGUCUCGAUCUUCUGACCUCGUGAUCCAUCCGCCUCAGCCUUCCAAAGUGCUGGGAUUACAGACGUGAGCCACCGCGCCCGGCCAAAAGAUCCAUAAACUUUGAGUCACCAGAUAGAGCUAACAUUUACCACAGAGGCAUGUAAAGAAAACGAUUCUAGCAGAGUAACUAUAAUACAAAAGAACAAUAUUCCAAUUAUGUUCCUAUGUUCUAUCUAGGAAGGUUUAAGAGGAGCCUUUUAAACUGAACUAUAUUCUAAGAGGUGGGAAAAACGGUUUUCUUUUGUUUUUCUUAUUAACCGUACCUUGAAAGCCCCAAAUAAAUGUUCCUUGGUUUAGAUGCCCUGGUAGAUGACCAAAAAAGUUUGACCAGUUAUCAAAAUCUACAAAGACUAUAUGAGUCAUGGUUCGCAGGUAAUCCAAAUCUGGAAGCUCAACAAUUUCUUCCUCUGGGAAGAGAGAAAUAUCAACAUGAGUUCAGUAAGAAUUUGCUAAAAUCAUUCUGAUUUCAAGUCCAAAAAAUAUUAGAAGGCUAAUAUGCAAAAAUACUAACCUUGAAUGUUACUCAUUUCUAUCUAACCUUUUUGUGAAAUCCAAAUCUGUACAUGACACCAUUUACACUUAAAUCAGAUAAAAAUAAUCUGAACAUUUCA